AGUAAUGUUAAGGAUGAAGGAAGCCAAUAGCGAGACUCUCGAGCCUACGAACAGAAACUUGGUAUAAGGCUAAAUGGGAAAGGAUAAGACUGCACAACAAGUUGAAGUCCGAAUGGUAAACGUAUUCCCCAAAACAGUAAACCAAGAGGUUGUGAA
Molecule: non-coding RNA, 156 nt
Filed under: uncultured Prevotella sp.
Lineage: Bacteria; Pseudomonadati; Bacteroidota; Bacteroidia; Bacteroidales; Prevotellaceae
Source: RNAcentral